This is a long non-coding RNA of Alosa alosa (allis shad), 749 nucleotides long. RefSeq lists it as uncharacterized. Lineage: Eukaryota; Metazoa; Chordata; Actinopteri; Clupeiformes; Clupeidae. The transcript is spliced from 5 exons. The record is from RefSeq and is a predicted model, not a curated record.
UGGGGGGUUGGCGAUUAUAUUGUUUUAUUUUAAAAGCCUAUUUCGAAUAGCUUUUCCAAUUGUAUUAAAUCAAAUAUAGAGUACCAAACAAAAUAAUGCAUAUUACACAUACUGACUUUGCCUUUAUCACAGAAAUAAUUUAUUUUUGGUUUCACAUGUCAAAGUAUUUCCCCAUUCUUUUUGCCGUAUAUGGUUCGCUCCUGAGUUUCAGUAAAGAGUCGCGAGCCAGCAACAUCAAUAGCCAGCUCAAUGAAGAUGGCGGAUCUGUGAGGGAUGCUGUCAACAGGACUUUAAACUUUCACAUUUUCCGAUCUUUGACCGACGGUGUUUGGAUAGCUGUCUACGAGAAUCACCACCUGCCUCCUGACAAGACGAGUUAGAGCGGGCCGGACGAGCGUGGAGGAGAGCGAGAGGGGGAGAGCAGCAGCGGUGGUGGAAACAAGUUCUGUUGACAGUUCCUGAUUGACCGCUCACACCGACGCUUGUUGACCAACAGACAGACCGACCCGACUGACCACCAGUCAAAAAGAUCCACGGGGGGCAGUGACGGAGAAGUUUAGGCUCUGGACUUCAAGAGAAGAGGCCUUUGAAGGUGUCUACUCGUCUCUCCUCCCACGCCCUAAGGAUGGCCAGGCUAGGGCUCCGUUGGGGGCCACGUUCACGGAUGUGUCCCAGCGGGGAGCACAUUAAGCAGGGACGCUGCUGAGCCUGGAGGAGGUGACAGGAGAAGGCUGCAACUCCACCAGAGA